RNAcentral lists this transfer RNA (72 nucleotides) under Mus pahari (shrew mouse). RNAcentral's name for it is "tRNA-Ala (AGC) (tRNA-Ala-AGC-5-1)". It matches the Rfam family "tRNA". From Rfam's summary of the family: Transfer RNA (tRNA) molecules are approximately 80 nucleotides in length. Their secondary structure includes four short double-helical elements and three loops (D, anti-codon, and T loops). Further hydrogen bonds mediate the characteristic L-shaped molecular structure. tRNAs have two regions of fundamental functional importance: the anti-codon, which is responsible for specific mRNA codon recognition, and the 3' end, to which the tRNAs corresponding amino acid is attached (by aminoacyl-tRNA synthetases). tRNAs cope with the degeneracy of the genetic code in two manners: having more than one tRNA (with a specific anti-codon) for a particular amino acid; and 'wobble' base-pairing, i.e. permitting non-standard base-pairing at the 3rd anti-codon position. The record is from RNAcentral. Lineage: Eukaryota; Metazoa; Chordata; Mammalia; Rodentia; Muridae.
GGGGGUGUAGCUCAGUGGUAGAGCGCGGGCUUAGCAUGCACGAGGCCCUGGGUUUAAUCCCCAGCACCUCCA